Molecule: ribosomal RNA, 464 nt
Filed under: uncultured bacterium
Lineage: Bacteria
Description: bacterial SSU rRNA
Rfam family: Bacterial small subunit ribosomal RNA
Source: RNAcentral
GGCGGCGUGCUUAACACAUGCAAGUCGCACGGGGGCAGCAAUGCUCAAGUGGCGGACGGGUGAGUAACGCAUCGAUAACCUGCCCUGAAGUGGGGGAUACCCAGCCGAAAGGCUGGCUAAUACCGCAUCAUGUCCCCGGGACAACGCCUGGGGAAGAAAGCCGUAAGGCGCUUUAGGAGGGGUCGAUGUCCGAUUAGCUAGUUGGUGUGGUAACGGCGCACCAAGGCGACGAUCGGUAGCUGGUCUGAGAGGAUGAUCAGCCACACUGGAACUGAGACACGGUCCAGACUCCUACGGGAGGCAGCAGUGAGGAAUUUUCCGCAAUGGGGGCAACCCUGACGGAGCGACGCCGCGUGGAGGACGAAGUCCCUCGGGAUGUAAACUCCUUUUGCCCGGGAAGAACACAAUGACGGUACCGGGUGAAUAAGCAUCGGCUAACUACGUGCCAGCAGCCGCGGUAAGAC